This 219-nucleotide unclassified non-coding RNA is filed under the name uncultured Entoloma. RNAcentral describes it as "sequence contains ITS2". The record is from RNAcentral. Lineage: Eukaryota; Fungi; Basidiomycota; Agaricomycetes; Agaricales; Entolomataceae.
AAUUCUCAACCUAAUCAGGUUUUGUAAUAAAGCUUGGUUCAGGCUUGGAUUAUGGGAGGUUGCUGGCUUUUCCAUAGUUCAGCUCUUCUGAAAUGUAUUGUGGAGAUCUCAUCAUUGAAUCACAUUGAUAUGAUAAUUAUCUAUAUCAUUGCUGGUCAAUAAUUGUCAUAAGCUCCUAUUAAAAAGUCUUGUGUCCCAACGGCACAUUUCAUUUGAAAC